GUCCACGCUGUAAACGAUGAACACUAGAUAUUGGAGGAUUUGACCCCUUCAGUGUCGUAGCUAACGCGUUAAGUGUUCCGCCUGGGAAGUACGGUCGCAAGACUAAAACUCAAAGGAAUUGACGGGGGCCCGCACAAGCGGUGGAUUAUGUGGUUUAAUUCGAAGCAACGCGCAGAACCUUACCUAGGCUUGAAAUCCUACGAAUCCCUUUUAAACGAGGGAGUGCUCUUCGGAGAAUGUAGUGACAGGCGCUGCAUGGCUGUCGU
RNAcentral lists this ribosomal RNA (266 nucleotides) under uncultured bacterium. Its description in RNAcentral is "partial 16S ribosomal RNA". It matches the Rfam family "Bacterial small subunit ribosomal RNA", at positions 793 to 1055 of the family's 1533-position model. The record is from RNAcentral.